UCAAGCGACUAAGUGCAUGUGGUGGAUGCCUUGGCGGUUACAGGCGAUGAAGGACGUAGUAGCCUGCGAUAAGCCUCGGGGAGCUGGCAAACGAGCUUUGAUCCGAGGAUUUCCGAAUGGGGAAACCCGGCCCUUUUGGGUCACUCCCUGCUGAAUACAUAGGCAGGGUAGAGCGAACGCAGUGAACUGAAACAUCUAAGUAGCUGCAGGAAAAGAAAUCAACCGAGAUUCCGUAAGUAGUGGCGAGCGAACACGGAGAAGCCUCCACGUUUUAGCCAUUCAUUUAGCAGAACGGUCUGGAAAGUCCGGCGAUAGUGGGUGAUAGCCCCGUAUGCGAAAAAUGAGUGGUGGAACUAGGCGUGGGACAAGUAGGGCGGGGCACGAGAAACCCUGUCUGAACAUGGGGGGACCAUCCUCCAAGGCUAAAUACUCGUAACCGACCGAUAGUGAACCAGUACCGUGAGGGAAAGGCGAAAAGAACCCCGGGAGGGGAGUGAAAUAGAUCCUGAAACCGCAUGCAUACAAACAGUGGGAGCCCCGCAAGGGGUGACUGCGUACCUUUUGUAUAAUGGGUCAGCGACUUACAUUCUGUGGCAAGCUUAACCGAUAGGGUAGGCGAAGCGAAAGCGAGUCUGAAUAGGGCGCAUAGUCGCAGGGUGUAGACCCGAAACCGGGUGAUCUAUCCAUGGCCAGGAUGAAGGUGGGGUAACACUCACUGGAGGUCCGAACCCACUAGUGUUGAAAAACUAGGGGAUGAGCUGUGGAUAGGGGUGAAAGGCUAAACAAACCCGGAAAUAGCUGGUUCUCUCCGAAAACUAUUGAGGUAGUGCCUCGUGAUAGGCCCUCGGGGGUAGAGCACUGUUAUGGCUAGGGGGGAGUCACAUCCCUACCAACCCAUUGCAAACUCCGAAUACCGAGGAGCCGUUUCACGGGAGACAGACAUCGGGUGCUAACGUCCGGUGUCAAGAGGGAAACAACCCAGACCGCCAGCUAAGGUCCCAAAUGCAUAGCUAAGUGGAAAACGAUGUGGGAAGGCAUAGACAGCCAGGAGGUUGGCUUAGAAGCAGCCACCCUUUAAAGAAAGCGUAAUAGCUCACUGGUCGAGUCGUCCUGCGCGGAAGAUGUAACGGGGCUCAAGCUAUGAACCGAAGCUGCGGAUGCACGCGUAAGCGUGUGUGGUAGGAGAGCGUUCCGUAGGCCUGCGAAGGUGAGGGGUAACCCUUGCUGGAGGUAUCGGAAGUGCGAAUGCUGACAUGAGUAGCGAUAAAGGGAGUGAAAAGCUCCCUCGCCGAAAGCCCCAGGUUUCCUGCGCAACGUUCAUCGGCGCAGGGUGAGUCGGCCCCUAAGGUGAGGCAGAAAUGCGUAGCUGAUGGGAAACGGGUUAAUAUUCCCGUACCGUUCUAUGAUGCGAUGGGGGGACGGAGAAGGUUAGGUUGGCCGGGUGUUGGACGUCCCGGUUUAAGCGUGUAGGCGUGCUCUUUAGGCAAAUCCGGAGAGCUUAGCCAAGGCGUGAUGACGCAAACCGCUUCGGCGGUCCAAGCAACUGAUACCAUGCUUCCAGGAAAAGCCUCUAAGCUUCAGUCAUGGAAUGACCGUACCGCAAACCGACACAGGUGGGCAGGGUGAGAAUCCUAAGGCGCUUGAGAGAACUCAGGAGAAGGAACUCGGCAAAUUAACACCGUAACUUCGGGAGAAGGUGUGCCCCAAGUAUGUGAAAGACUUCGCGUCUGGAGCAGAACGGGGUUGCAGUGAAAAGGUGGCUGCGACUGUUUAAUAAAAACACAGCACUCUGCAAACACGAAAGUGGACGUAUAGAGUGUGACGCCUGCCCGGUGCUGGAAGGUUAAGUGAUGGGGUGCAAGCUCUUGAUCGAAGCCCCAGUAAACGGCGGCCGUAACUAUAACGGUCCUAAGGUAGCGAAAUUCCUUGUCGGGUAAGUUCCGAC
RNAcentral lists this ribosomal RNA (1945 nucleotides) under sediment metagenome. Its description in RNAcentral is "bacterial LSU rRNA". It matches the Rfam family "Bacterial large subunit ribosomal RNA", at positions 3 to 1987 of the family's 2925-position model. The record is from RNAcentral.